GACGAACGCUGGCGGCGUGCUUAACACAUGCAAGUCGAACGAAGUGGCGAACGGGUGAGUAACGCGUAAUCAACCUGCCCUUCAGAGGGGUACAACAGUUGGAAACGACUGCUAAUACCGCAUAGUGAAGGAGGGGAUUGCGGCUGAUUAGCUGGGUGGAGGGGUAACGGCCCACCAAGGCGAUGAUCAGUAGCCGGUCUGAUAGGAUGAACGGCCACAUUGGGACUGAGACACGGCCCAGACUCCUACGGGAGGCAGCAGUGGGGAAUCUUCCACAAUGGACGAAAGUCUGACGGAGCAACGCCGCGUGAGUGAUGACGGCCUUCGGGUUGUAAAGCUCUGUUAAUCGGGACGCGGUACCGGAAUAGAAAGCCACGGCUAACUACGUGCCAGCAGCCGCGGUAAUAC
RNAcentral lists this ribosomal RNA (408 nucleotides) under uncultured bacterium. RNAcentral's name for it is "partial 16S ribosomal RNA". It matches the Rfam family "Bacterial small subunit ribosomal RNA", at positions 28 to 526 of the family's 1533-position model. The record is from RNAcentral.